GCGAGUCGAGAGGGGAAAGCCCUCGGCGCACUGCUCAGUAACACGUGGAUAACCUGCCCUCGAGACGGGGAUAACCCCGGGAAACUGGGGAUAAUACCCGAUAGGCUAUGGAACCUGGAAUGGUCUAUAGCUGAAAAGCGCUAGCGCUCGAGGAUGGGUCUGCGGCUGAUUAGGUUGUUGCCGGUGUAACGUACCGGCAAGCCGAUAAUCAGUACGGGCUGUGAGAGCAGGAGCCCGGAGAUGGAUUCUGAGACAUGAAUCCAGGCCCUACGGGGCGCAGCAGGCGCGAAACCUUCACACUGCGCGCAAGCGCGAUGAGGGGACCUCGAGUGUCGGUGCCAAGCACCGACUGUCCCGCUGCCUAAAAAGCAGCGGUAAGCAAGGGCCGGGUAAGACCGGUGCCAGCCGCCGCGGUAACACCGGCGGCUCGAGUGGUGACCGCUAUUAUUGAGCUUAAAGGGUCCGUAGCCGGUCUAGUAACUCUCUUGGGAAAUCUGGCGGCUUAACCGUCAGGCGUCCAAGAGAAACUGCUAGACUUGGGAGCGGGGGAGGUUGGAGGUACUCCAGGGGUAGGGGUGAAAUCCUGUAAUCCUUGGGGGACCACCAGUGGCGAAGGCGUCCAACCAAAACGCGUCCGACGGUGAGGGACGAAAGCCAGGGGCACAAACCGGAUUAGAUACCCGGGUAGUCCUG
This 693-nucleotide ribosomal RNA is filed under the name uncultured archaeon. Its description in RNAcentral is "bacterial SSU rRNA". It matches the Rfam family "Archaeal small subunit ribosomal RNA", at positions 53 to 749 of the family's 1478-position model. The record is from RNAcentral.